AUUUUUGAAUUUUUAAAUAUAAACUUUAAUAUUAUUAUAUAUUUUUAAUGAUGUACCUACUGUUCGAUUAUGUCUUAGAAAACCAAGAUCAAAUAAAAAGGUUCAGUGGACUCAGGGUACUGUAGAUAAUGAACAUAUGAAUAAAAAGAAAUCUAAAUGUUGUUGUAUUUAUGAAAAAC
Molecule: unclassified non-coding RNA, 179 nt
Organism: Apis florea (little honeybee)
Lineage: Eukaryota; Metazoa; Arthropoda; Insecta; Hymenoptera; Apidae
Source: RefSeq, a predicted model, not a curated record